CUACGGGGGGCAGCAGUGGGGAAUCUUAGACAAUGGGGGAAACCCUGAUCUAGCCAUGCCGCGUGAGUGACGAAGGCCUUAGGGUCGUAAAGCUCUUUCGCUGGGGAAGAUAAUGACUGUACCCAGUAAAGAAACCCCGGCUAACUCCGUGCCAGCAGCCGCGGUAAUACGGAGGGGGUUAGCGUUGUUCGGAAUUACUGGGCGUGAAGCGCGCGUAGGCGGACUGGAAAGUUGGGGGUGAAAUCCCGGGGCUCAACCCCGGAACGGCCUCCAAAACUAUCAGUCUAGAGUUCGAGAGAGGUGAGUGGAAUUCCGAGUGUAGAGGUGAAAUUCGUAGAUAUUCGGAGGAACACCAGUGGCGAAGGCGGCUCACUGGCUCGAUACUGACGCUGAGGUGCGAAAGCGUGGGGAGCAAACAGGAUUAGAUACCCGUGUAGUC
Molecule: ribosomal RNA, 439 nt
Filed under: uncultured bacterium
Lineage: Bacteria
Description: partial 16S ribosomal RNA
Rfam family: Bacterial small subunit ribosomal RNA
Source: RNAcentral